Molecule: ribosomal RNA, 253 nt
Filed under: uncultured bacterium
Lineage: Bacteria
Description: partial 16S ribosomal RNA
Rfam family: Bacterial small subunit ribosomal RNA
Source: RNAcentral
UACAGAGGGUGCGAGCGUUAAUCGGAAUUACUGGGCGUAAAGCGUGCGUAGACGGUAGCGUAAGUCAGAUGUGAAAGCCCCGGGCUCAACCUGGGAAUUGCAUUUGAGACUGCUCUGCUCGGGUGCGGAAGAGGGAAGCGGAAUUUCCGGUGUAGCGGUGAAAUGCGUAGAUAUCGGAAGGAACACCUGUGGCGAAAGCGGCUCACUGGACCAUAACUGACGCUGAUGCACGAAAGCUAGGGGAGCAAACAGG